AAUUGGCCACAAACCGAUCAAGCUCCCAUAGAGUCUCGGUGUCAAGGGCCUCAAUGUCGAGCUCAAUCUCAUCACCGUCUUGGGCUAAAUGUUCAUUCCUCUUCCUUAUAAUCUGCACCAACUGCGGCAUCUUCUCUUGUGGCAAACUUUGCAACCCAACUCCUAAUUUAUGCUUUUCCUCCAUAUUCAUCUCUCUUUUAUUUGGAUCCUUGGCCCUCGGUUUAGGUUGCUUUCCCAUAGUAGGAACUUUAGCAGCUGAUUGAGGCUUCGCAGCUGGUGCCCUCACUGGGGACGGAGUUGACAAUGGUGACUGCUGUCGGGCUGGUGGAUUGGGUGGUGGCACUGGCAAAGAGGGUGUUGACGCACUAGAAUGAUUUUGCAUCCGCUCUUGCUUCUUUGAAAUGUUAGGGACUGGGGUAGGUUUGGGUUUCUUCACUCUCUCGGGAGUAGGUAUGUGAUUCCAAGAACUCCCCUGCAACUCAUCUACAGGGUGAUAAUCCCGCCUGCCGCCUUCAAGCUUAUUCAUUUUAUCCUGGAGCGGUCUAAACAUGUCCUCAAAUCGUCCGAGAAGCUGCUCAGCGAAGCCAUUAACUUGAUCUGUUUUAGGGUUAUACAACAAGGCAUUAUUGAAAGUAAGCCUAACAUCAGCAGCAAAUUCAAAAGGGGAAGGGUAAAAAUUCUUAGCCAAAUUUGAUUUAACCGUCCCCAAAUCCAUGGGUCGCUUAAUAAUUUGGUGGUAAUCAUGAAGACCCAAGGCUUCAGCAUCAACAGGGAUAUUGAAAAUCCACCCAUUUUUGUGCUUCAUCAGCUUUGCCAAAAUCUGCCUACAUUCCUUCAUCAUACUUUCCGUUCCGAUGGCCUUCACACCAUCCACACCACCUGGAUUACCAAAAUUCCUAUUUUCAACUCCGUUUGGGAGCUUCUUCAGAUCCUUACUGGAUCCGGAAGGGGUAGGCCGUUUAUUUCCAGAUUGUUUCUUCGAUUUGCCUUGAGAUCUGGGGUUGGUGGUGCUCAAUUGACCGGAUUCGAUUCGAUCCUUGAGGUUUCGGAUCUGUUCGACCUCCGCCAUCAGCCGACUCCGUAGCUCAUUGACCUCGGCUUUGUUGUAAGAGACGACGUUAAAAGUCAAAUAUCCUCCGAAAUUCAGGCCGUCAACGUUGGUCGUUGAUUCAAUCGGCCGUUGAUUGAACGAGUAGGCAUCAUCAGACGCCGUUUGCGUCACUGCUGGCGAAUCAUCCAUAUGCCGACCAUUAGAGGUGUGAUGGAAUUGCUUCUGCUUCUUCUUAGGGUUAGGGUUGUGAUUAGGGGU
This 1309-nucleotide unclassified non-coding RNA is filed under the name Hevea brasiliensis (rubber tree). Lineage: Eukaryota; Viridiplantae; Streptophyta; Magnoliopsida; Malpighiales; Euphorbiaceae. The record is from RNAcentral.